AAUAAACCUGCCUUUUUUUUUUUUCUUUCCUGUUGCUGAAAUCUAUCAGGGUUGUUUUCUCUACACCAUGACUCAGGAAACAGGAGAAGUCAUUUGAGUGAAAAUAAAAAAGAUGAGAAGGAAUACAAGUUGUUGAAUGAGACUUGGCACAGCUCCAGAAUAUUUCUUUAGUUACAAGUAUCAGCUAUAAUGACUUGAAGGUAAAUGUUGCAGUUAAAUCAAGCGGAAAUAGCCAAUGGAAGCCAUUUGAAAAUAAAAAUUUUAAAAUGGAAGGAAAAAAAAGUCUGGAUAAAUACCACAGAACACUCCUAAUUAUGAAGUGGAUGAAAAAAAGGAUACCUAGCGAAAUGGAUGCAAAGAAAUCCAAACAGUUAGUUACAAAUUAACGUGGACAGUAGAAUUUGGAUUAAAACACAAGAUUCAAAUCGAUCUUGCUUACUUUUUUCUUCUUCUAAAGUUUGCAAAUGAAUAGCAAAAGGCCAUUUGAUACUGAAGAUCACUUAGGAAUGACAUUCUGUAAAGGUCGAUAGUGACUAAAGAUGGUAACAGCAUAAAAAUGAUUGAAUAAUAAGACUGCAAAGUAGAACCUUCUAGAUAAGGUACUUGUGCCUUCAGAUACUUGUGCGUGCAAGUGCUUUUUGUACAACUGGAUCAGUCACUAUCCAGACUGUCUCAAUUUCACGUGAAUUGUUUUCUUAUUCUGAAUCAAUAUUUUUAAAAAGUCAUUAAAAUACUUAAAUAUGUUUUUCCUUUUGUGACCUCAACUGCAUCUCAGCAAAGAAAAAUUUUGUGCCUUUUAAAAAUCAGUACCAGUUCUUUGACAAGUGAUUCCUUAUCCUUAUCCUCCUCCUUUCAUCAUAAGAGUUGUUAUGUCUUCAGAAUAGGUUCAGCAUAAAGUCCUCUGCUAGGAAGGAAAGCACACACCCUGUUCAUUUGUCCCAAUGCUAGUGGGAGAAAGCGUGUUCUGUCUUUAAAUCUGUCAGUUUUAAUGCUUAGAAAUCAGGCUUAUUUUCAUCUGGAGUUGUUAGGGCCUUCAAAGUAGGCUUCCUCUCCCCCCAGUAAAGUCUUCAACAAUGCAGGAUGUGUUGAGGCAAAACUGUUUCAAAUUAAGCUAAAUGUCACUCUUUAAGAGUUUCCAAGGCUAAUUCAAAGGACUGUCCUGGAGCUUCAUUUCAAAGUGAUGAAAAAUUGGAAUUCNCUUUUCUUUUAAUAAAUUGUUCUGAGCUAUAUAGAAUAGUUGCA
RNAcentral lists this long non-coding RNA (1242 nucleotides) under Salvator merianae (Argentine black and white tegu). Its description in RNAcentral is "lncRNA (ENSSMRG00000005101.1)". The record is from RNAcentral. Lineage: Eukaryota; Metazoa; Chordata; Lepidosauria; Squamata; Teiidae.